AUUAAGAUCAACUCAAAGGUCUGGUAAUAAUGAAGAAGUUCAACACAGAACACUGGAACGAACGAACAAUUGUGCCUAGGUUCAAAAGUCCAAGGACUUCCACUGACGUGGUCCCUCGUUCCAAGGAGCCAGAGGCAGUAGGAUGCCAACUCCUGAAAGAAAAAGUCAACCUUGCUAGUUCAAAGGCUGGACAGCAGUGGCUUGCGUCUUCCUGGAAAGGUGCAUAGCCUUCACUUUGGUGCACAUCAAGCAUCUUCGAGAAUGGCUUCAUUGGACACCAAAGGAGAAAAACAGC
RNAcentral lists this long non-coding RNA (295 nucleotides) under Rattus norvegicus (Norway rat). Its description in RNAcentral is "long non-coding RNA NONRATT033620". The record is from RNAcentral. Lineage: Eukaryota; Metazoa; Chordata; Mammalia; Rodentia; Muridae.